This 271-nucleotide unclassified non-coding RNA is filed under the name Ascomycota sp. Its description in RNAcentral is "partial contains small subunit ribosomal RNA, internal transcribed spacer 1, and 5.8S ribosomal RNA". The stretch from base 1 to 47 matches the Rfam family "Eukaryotic small subunit ribosomal RNA", at positions 1785 to 1831 of the family's 1831-position model. Lineage: Eukaryota; Fungi; Ascomycota. The record is from RNAcentral.
AAAGUCGUAACAAGGUUUCCGUAGGUGAACCUGCGGAAGGAUCAUUAUGAAUCAGUAGCUUGCUACUGCGCUGGGGGAGAUGGGAAAGUCCUAGCUGAAAAGUUAGUGUACCGGUACCUGCACCCCUAUCAUACCCUUGUCUUUUGAGCACUUAUGUUUCCUUGGUGGGCUUGCCUGCCGAUAGGACAACCUUUAAACCUUUUAAUAUAUCAAUCAGCGUCUGAAAAAUAAUUAAUAAUUACAACUUUCAACAACGGAUCUCUUGGUUCUG